CUAUUAUGGAGAGUUUGAUCCUGGCUCAGGACGAACGCUGGCGGCGUGCCUAAUACAUGCAAGUCGAGCGGAUCU
RNAcentral lists this ribosomal RNA (75 nucleotides) under Paenibacillus sp. OV219. Its description in RNAcentral is "16S rRNA. Bacterial SSU". It matches the Rfam family "Bacterial small subunit ribosomal RNA", at positions 1 to 73 of the family's 1533-position model. Lineage: Bacteria; Bacillati; Bacillota; Bacilli; Caryophanales; Paenibacillaceae. The record is from RNAcentral.